Molecule: RNA transcript, 4079 nt
Organism: Triticum aestivum (bread wheat)
Lineage: Eukaryota; Viridiplantae; Streptophyta; Magnoliopsida; Poales; Poaceae
Exons: 6
Source: RefSeq, a predicted model, not a curated record
UCCCCCACCGCAUUAGCUUCUGCCUUGUUUAUCCACUCCCACCUCCCCGACAGUGAGGCGGAGGCCAUGCCGCCGCGGCCGCUGCGGCGGGCGUCCAGGCCGGCCCCUCCGCGUGCUCCUCGCCGACGCUGGGGCACCAGACGCGUUUUCCGUUCCGUCUUGGGCGUAGCCGAGUGCCAGCCGGCUCAACCCGCUCGAGGUGUCAGGUCGCACCGCCGCAACAGGCGUCCAUGGCGGCCCCUCCUCGUGCUCCUCGCCGACGACGGGGCACCAUGACGCUGUUUUCUCCGUUCCGUCUUGGGCGUAGCCGAGCGCCGCCUGCUCGCCCGCGCCACCGCGGCGGGCGUCGAGGACGCCUCCAUUCGAGCGCUCCUCGCUGACAACGAGCACCAGACCGCCGGUUUUCAGGGUCCAGGCUGAGAGGUCCUGCAGCCACGCCCGAGCUGCGCAGCUCGCCUCCAACCCUGCAGCAGCCGCUACCUUGCCGCGCGACCGUGGAGGAAUCUUUGAUGGUGAACUACGAGGUCAGGGGAAAAGUAGCCAACAGCUCGAGCGGUGCGCUCGAUUCAUGUCGCCGUCGCAGGACCACUGGUCCUUCGGGAGGCGGCGAGGCAGACGGGAGGCAGGCGUGGUAGGCGCAGCAAGCCUUUGCGGCAGUUGCAGGCAGGGCUAGUAAUUUCAGGUUCUGCACACACUCAAUCCAUCCUAGUUUAGCUAUCAAAAUUUUCUUCAAUGUGCGUGCACUUAUUGAGAGAGGUUGUACCUUUCAAUCUAGCUGUAGAUGGGGCCAUGGCAAAUUUAGUAUAAGUUUGUUCAAUCCCAUGGCAAUUUUCUAACAAAAUCUACCCUUUAUCAUGGCGAUUACAUAUUACUUUGUUGGAAGUUCAUGGAAUUUGUUCAUACCUUGGCAAAUUUGUAUCUGGUCGCAUGGAAAAUUCUAUAACAAAAAAUGAUGGCCAUGUCAACCAUAGCUUCAAGGUGUGUUUUGCCAUGCCAACUUGAAGCUUAGGUGUUUCCAUGACGGCAACAUUUGUGUUGUGUCUUUUUUGAAUGUUGCCAUGGCAAUUACAUUUUUGUUUGAGAACAUGGCAACUUUGGUGUUCUAACUUUUUCUUGCCAUGGCAAAAUUUAUUAUCUUUUUUUUAAAACAUGGCAAACUUGCCAUGGCAACUUUGCUAUGUUCAAGAACAUGACAAAGUUAUGGAUGUUCAAAAACAUGGCAAACUUAAAAUGUUUUUGGCAAAUGUAUUGACGGGGCAUGGCAAUUCUAGUUCAUGGGGCAUGGCAAAAAUACCUUUAUUCACAGCCAAAAGUGAGAUUUUUUCUACGUUUUUCUUGCCAUGGCAACUUUACUUUAAUGGCAUGUCAAUUUUUACUUUAUUUUUUUGACAUGGCAAAUUUAUUGUAUAGAGCAUGACAAUUUUAAUUUAAAUAUGAUGGCAAAUUUACAUUUCCACACAUUAAUUUUUUUAAUAUGUAGCAUGGCAAAUAUACUUGUGUAGCCAUGGCAAUUUUUAAUUUAUUUCCAUGACAAAAUUACACCAUUUUUGCCAUGGCAAAAUUUACUUCAUUUUUUUGCCACAGCGUACUUUUAAUGACAUGGCAAAUUUUAGUUUUUUUUCAUGGCAAAUUUAUUGUAAAGAGCAUGGCAAUUUUAAUUUAAAUAUGAUGGCAAAUUUACAUUUUCCGGAACAUGACAAAUUUUUACUAUGUAGCAUGGUAAAUGUAUUUGUAUUCCCAUGGCAAUUUUUAAUUUAUUUUCCAUGGCAAAAUUUAAUCCAUUUUUUGCCAUGGAAAAAUUUACUCCAUUUUUGCCAUGGCAAAAAUACUUCUAUUCACAUGGCAAAUUUUAGUUUAACUUGCCAUGUGAAAAUUUCCUGCUUUUUUACAUUUGUAUAUUGAAAGAUGGCAAAGUUAAGAAAUUUUGAUCCAUUGAUAUAGCAUUGCUCAGAUUUUUAUACAUGCCCAAUGACAAUUUUUGUAGAAAUCUUUUUUGUUGUAUCUGAUAUUUCCAUUUUUUUUUGUUUUUCCAUAAUAUCAUAGCAAACCUUUUCCACACUCAAUUGUAAUGAAGUCUGUAUGAACAUCAUGGCAAAUCAUGUAAUUUUUUAAUAUACCCUUUUUCAUGAUUAUAUGCUAGUUUUGUUCAUUAGAGCAUGGCAACUUUUUGUCGCGUACUAUGGAUUUUCUAGAUUUGUUUCAAGGAGAGAUUUCUUGGUCCAGUGCAUUUUUAGGCCUUUUUCCGUUUCUGUCUAUUUGUUGGGAUAGCAGUUUUGUUUUUUUGAAACAAGGGUAGUAGCAGUUUUUGGGCCUACAGAAAAUGCAAUUCUUUGUUUUUUAAUUUAUUCAAUUUAAUGAAGUUUUUGGGCUGGUCUGUUGGAGUCAUUGAGCUGGCCCGCUGAAGGCGAGCGGAGACAGGCGUUCGGGAGGGGGGUAGAUCGUAACGAACGAAAUCGUUCGUUCGGUCCUCUCUCCUGGAUCGAAAGAAACCUCCCCUCCCCGAACGUUCGGGGUGUUAUUUCUAAACCGAACGAAGCGCAGCUGACGUUGCCGUCUAUAUCCAGAUGAGAUCGCCUCCUACUUUUCCUCUGACUGUUAUCUCGCAAACCAAUUCUAUUAUAUAUAUCUCCUGCUUAUUAGCCGAUUCUGUUUGAUUCACGUACGUUCGUUCUCUCAGGUGCUUCUUCUUCCAGCAGGCGUCACCUGCGAGUCUCCCAUCUCUUCUUCAAUCAAGCUCACCACCAGGGGAAAAUGGUGGCGACGGCUACGUCUGCAACUGCCGCGCGAUGGGCGGCGGCGGCUGCCACUGCGGCUCUUACCUAGUAUCCAAAAGGAAGGACGGCAAACUAAAUACGCCACAAAAGGAGAUAAUAAUGGACAAAAUCUCUAAGAUAGGGCCCGAAUUACCUUUGCUCGUGCUGAAGAUGACAAAAAAUGGUAUACUGAAUCCAAACCUGCAUAUCUGCGACGCAUAUGUUUCGAGGUGUCUCCAGUAUUUCAUCGACGCAUAUGUUUCGAGGCGUCUCCCGCACGAACAAGAGGGCGACCAAAUAAUACCUCUCCCGCACGAACAAGAGGGCGACCAAAUGAUACCUCUCAAAGUUUUGCUAGAAGGUAUGGAGGUGAACACAAAGCUGGUCAUCAAGAAAUAUCCCUCUGGGACGUGGCAUACUACUCCCUCCGUCCGGAAAUACUUGUCAUCAAAAUAAAUAAAAGAGGAUGUAUCUAGAUGUAUUUUAGUUCUAGAUACACCCUUUUUUGUCCAUUUUGAUGACAAGUUUUUUCGGACGGAGGGAGCAUAUAUCAAAAAGACUGGAAGCAAUUGAUCAAAGAUGCCGGGAUGGAGGCGGGAGACAUCUGCCUCUUCCAAGUUGUAGACAGGGGCAGCAGCGAGCUCACGAUGAUGGUCCAUAUGAUCCGCACGUCGGAAAUGCUGGAAAGCACCAUCGUCGAGGCCAGCGAGCCUCGCGCGGAGGAGACACGCUUGGCCCGGCGGGAGGAUACGUCGGCAAGCCUCGCGCUGAGCCCUCCGGAGGGAGCGACAGCGACAGCCGCCCCCAUCUGCAUGUGAAGAGGAGCCUCUCGCCUUCACCUGGCGAGUCCCUCCAAAAGGAGAAGAAGAUGCAGCUAGGGGCCACGACGUCCACCGAGCCCUCACCGGAGGCGCCCGCUGAGGAGACCCAUGCGCCCCUGUCGAGCCCUGAGGGGCGUGAGGAGAUGGCCCGCCAUGUUGAGGCGGCGACGAGGCAGACGGUGACCGAAGAUGGUUUUGUGACUUGGCAGCCGCUCGAAGACUUGCCUCCCCCAGCUGGGAGGAACUAGCUUCGCAAGGGAAGGGGGCCUCCGGAGGUGAGGAGGUGCCUCUAAAGGCGCGACGAGCCCCCAGCACAAGCCCACAGACGUGAAAUAACAAUUUUGCAUCUGAUAAUAGGCUACGUACUUUUACAAGUCUAAUAAAAGGCCAAAACAAUUAUUAGCCAGGGUACUUCCACAUCUCAGAAUCACAUUUGUCUUCCCCAAUAGACAACUCAAGAAAGACGAUUGGCUUAGUCAAUCAAUCGAGACGUGCUUCCAUAUCC